RNAcentral lists this ribosomal RNA (429 nucleotides) under Pseudomonadota bacterium. RNAcentral's name for it is "Proteobacteria bacterium partial 16S ribosomal RNA". It matches the Rfam family "Bacterial small subunit ribosomal RNA", at positions 355 to 776 of the family's 1533-position model. The record is from RNAcentral. Lineage: Bacteria; Pseudomonadati; Pseudomonadota. RNAcentral also lists the same sequence under 1 other name.
UGGGGAAUAUUGGACAAUGGGCGAAAGCCUGAUCCAGCCAUGCCGCGUGUGUGAAGAAGGUCUUCGGAUUGUAAAGCACUUUAAGUUGGGAGGAAGGGCAGUAAGCGAAUACCUUGCUGUUUUGACGUUACCGACAGAAUAAGCACCGGCUAACUCUGUGCCAGCAGCCGCGGUAAUACAGAGGGUGCAAGCGUUAAUCGGAAUUACUGGGCGUAAAGCGCGCGUAGGUGGUUCGUUAAGUUGAAUGUGAAAGCCCCGGGCUCAACCUGGGAACUGCAUCCAACACUGGCGAGCUAGAGUAGGGCAGAGGGUGGUGGAAUUUCCUGUGUAGCGGUGAAAUGCGUAGAUAUAGGAAGGAACACCAGUGGCGAAGGCGACCACCUGGGCUCAUACUGACACUGAGGUGCGAAAGCGUGGGGAGCAAACAGG